GAUGAACGCUGGCGGCGUGCCUAAUACAUGCAAGUCGAGCGAACGGACGAGAAGCUUGCUUCUCUGAUGUUAGCGGCGGACGGGUGAGUAACACGUGGAUAACCUACCUAUAAGACUGGGAUAACUUCGGGAAACCGUAGCUAAUACCGGAUAAUAUUUUGAACCGCAUGGUUCAAAAGUGAAAGACGGUCUUGCUGUCACUUAUAGAUGGAUCCGCGCUGCAUUAGCUAGUUGGUAAGGUAACGGCUUACCAAGGCAACGAUGCAUAGCCGACCUGAGAGGGUGAUAGGCCACACGAGAACUGAGACACGGUCCAGACUCCUACGGGAGGCAGCAGAAGGGAAUCUUCCGCAAUGGGCGAAAGCCUGACGGAGCAACGCCGCGUGAGUGAUGAAGGUCUUGGGAUCGUAAAACUCUGUUAUUAGGGAAGAACAUAUGUGUAAGUAACUGUGCACAUCUUGACGGUACCUAAUCAGAAAGCCACGGCUAACUACGUG
RNAcentral lists this ribosomal RNA (497 nucleotides) under uncultured bacterium. RNAcentral's name for it is "partial 16S ribosomal RNA". It matches the Rfam family "Bacterial small subunit ribosomal RNA", at positions 28 to 507 of the family's 1533-position model. The record is from RNAcentral.